GACGAACGCUGGCGGCGUGCUUAACACAUGCAAGUCGAACGAUGAAGCAAAGAAUUGAAGCUUCGGCAGAAAUUCAUUUCGGAUUAGUGGCGGACGGGUGAGUAACGCGUGAGCAACCUACCUCUUACAAAGGGAUAGCCUCGGGAAACCGGGAUUAAUACCAUAUAACAUUGCGACGAAGCAUUUCGAUGCAAUCAAAGCUACGGCGGUAAGAGAUGGGCUCGCGUCCCAUUAACCAGAUGGUGAGGUAACGGCUCACCAUAGUAACGAUGGGUAACCGGCCUGAGAGGGUGAACGGUCACACUGGAACUGAGACACGGUCCAGACUCCUACGGGAGGCAGCAGUGGGGAAUAUUGCACAAUGGAGGGAACUCUGAUGCAGCGACGCCGCGUGAGUGAUGAAGGAAUUCGUUUCGUAAAACUCUGUUCUAUGGGAAGAAAAGGACUGUACCAUAGGAGAAAGCUCCGGCUAAAUACGUG
This 480-nucleotide ribosomal RNA is filed under the name uncultured bacterium. RNAcentral describes it as "partial 16S ribosomal RNA". It matches the Rfam family "Bacterial small subunit ribosomal RNA", at positions 28 to 507 of the family's 1533-position model. The record is from RNAcentral.